UACGAAGGGGGCUAGCGUUGCUCGGAUUUACUGGGCGUAAAGGGCGCGUAGGCGGUUCGGACAGUCAGACGUGAAAUUCCUGGGCUCAACCUGGGGGCUGCGUUUGAUACGUGCGGACUUGAGUGCGGAAGAGGGUCGUGGAAUUCCCAGUGUAGAGGUGAAAUUCGUAGAUAUUGGGAAGAACACCGGUGGCGAAGGCGGCGACCUGGUCCGAUACUGACGCUGAGGCGCGAAAGCGUGGGGAGCAAACAGG
This 253-nucleotide ribosomal RNA is filed under the name uncultured bacterium. RNAcentral describes it as "partial 16S ribosomal RNA". It matches the Rfam family "Bacterial small subunit ribosomal RNA", at positions 524 to 776 of the family's 1533-position model. The record is from RNAcentral.